AGGGAAAGGCGAAAAGAACCCCGGCGAGGGGAGUGAAAAAGAACCUGAAACCGUGUACGUACAAGCAGUGGGAGCACAGGUUUACCUGUGUGACUGCGUACCUUUUGUAUAAUGGGUCAGCGACUUAUAUUCUGUAGCAAGGUUAACCGAAUAGGGGAGCCGGAGGGAAACCGAGUCUUAAUUGGGCGUUAAGUUGCAGGGUAUAGACCCGAAACCCGGUGAUCUAGCCAUGGGCAGGUUGAAGGUUGGGUAACACUAACUGGAGGACCGAACCGACUAAUGUUGAAAAAUUAGCGGAUGACCUGUGGCUGGGGGUGAAAGGCCAAUCAAACCGGGAGAUAGCUGGUUCUCCCCGAAAGCUAUUUAGGUAGCGCCUCGUGAAUUCAUCUCCGGGGGUAGAGCACUGUUUCGGCUAGGGGGCCAUCCCGGCUUACCAACCCGAUGCAAACUGCGAAUACCGGAGAAUGUUAUCACGGGAGACACACGGCGGGUGCUAACGUCCGUCGUGAAGAGGGAAACAACCCAGACCGCCAGCUAAGGUCCCAAAGUCAUGGUUAAGUGGGAAACGAUGUGGGAAGGCCCAGACAGCCAGGAUGUUGGCUUAGAAGCAGCCAUCAUUUAAAGAAAGCGUAAUAGCUCACUGGUCGAGUCGGCCUGCGCGGAAGAUGUAACGGGGCUAAACCAUGCACCGAAGCUGCGGCAGCGACGCUUAUGCGU
RNAcentral lists this ribosomal RNA (717 nucleotides) under Salmonella enterica. Its description in RNAcentral is "partial 23S ribosomal RNA". It matches the Rfam family "Bacterial large subunit ribosomal RNA", at positions 506 to 1221 of the family's 2925-position model. Lineage: Bacteria; Pseudomonadati; Pseudomonadota; Gammaproteobacteria; Enterobacterales; Enterobacteriaceae. The record is from RNAcentral.